This 110-nucleotide ribosomal RNA is filed under the name Castor canadensis (American beaver). Lineage: Eukaryota; Metazoa; Chordata; Mammalia; Rodentia; Castoridae. The record is from RNAcentral.
GUUUAUGACAACAGCACUCUGAACAUGCAUGAUCUUGUCUGAUCUUGGAAGCUAAGCAGGGUCAGCCCUGGGUAGUACUUGGAUGGAAGAGUGCUCAUUGCUAAUAAAUA